CAGUCGCCGCGGUAAUACGUAGGUGGCAAGCGUUGUCCGGAAUUAUUGGGCGUAAGGGGCUCGCAGGCGGUUUCUUAAGUCUGAUGUGAAAGCCCCCGGCUCAACCGGAGAGGGUCAUUGGAAACUGGGAAACUUGAGUGCAGAAGAGGAGAGUGGAAUUCCACGUGUAGCGGUGAAAUGCGUAGAGAUGUGGAGGAACACCAGUGGCGAAGGCGACUCUCUGGUCUGUAACUGACGCUGAGGAGCGAAAGCGUGGGAGCAAACAGGAUUAGAUACCCGGGUAGUCCCUGUCUCUUAUACA
Molecule: ribosomal RNA, 301 nt
Filed under: uncultured bacterium
Lineage: Bacteria
Description: partial 16S ribosomal RNA
Rfam family: Bacterial small subunit ribosomal RNA
Source: RNAcentral